RNAcentral lists this small nuclear RNA (129 nucleotides) under Strigops habroptila (Kakapo). RNAcentral's name for it is "U1 spliceosomal RNA (ENSSHBG00005014859.1)". It matches the Rfam family "U1 spliceosomal RNA". From Rfam's summary of the family: U1 is a small nuclear RNA (snRNA) component of the spliceosome (involved in pre-mRNA splicing). Its 5' end forms complementary base pairs with the 5' splice junction, thus defining the 5' donor site of an intron. The record is from RNAcentral. Lineage: Eukaryota; Metazoa; Chordata; Aves; Psittaciformes; Psittacidae.
UUAUUUACCUGGCACAGGAGACACCAUCAUCAGGCACGUGGUUUUCCAAGGUCAAGGCUCAUGCCCUGCACUCUGGGUGUGCUGACCCCUUGCGAUUUCCCCAAAUGCAGGGAAAACAGCUGCUAAGGC